Molecule: unclassified non-coding RNA, 337 nt
Filed under: soil metagenome
Description: partial contains 5.8S ribosomal RNA, internal transcribed spacer 2, and large subunit ribosomal RNA
Rfam family: 5.8S ribosomal RNA (bases 1-120)
Source: RNAcentral
GAUGAAGAACGUAGUGAAAUGCGAUAAGUAGUGUGAAUUGCAGAAUUCAGUGAAUCAUCGAAUCUUUGAACGCACAUUGCGCCCCUUGGUAUUCCAUGGGGCAUGCCUGUUCGAGCGUCAUUUGUACCCUCCAGCCCUGCUGGGUAUUGGGCGUUUUGUUCCGCUACGCGCGUGAACUCGCCUCAAAUGCAUUGGCAGCCCGCCGUCCCGUGUGGGAGCGCAGCACAUUUUGCGCUCUCCGCUGCUGACGGUGGCAUCCACAAGUCUACCAUUUUACGCUUGACCUCGGAUCAGGUAGGGAUACCCGCUGAACUUAAGCAUAUCAAUAAGCGGAGGA